GGAAGAAAACGCUCCAAAAAAAACCAAACACCCCUCGCAAUCUUGUGCAAGAAAAAAGGUCCCUAAUUGGACCGACACCACGCACAGACACGCACAGGCACGCACAGACACGCACACACACGCGCACACACACGCACGCCUCAGUUGUUCCACGUUGUGGCCUCCUCCCCGGGUUACCACGGCCACCGCCGACUAAUCCACAACGGUUACGUUUGCACAACGCGACACAAACGACGCACUACUUCUUUCGCACAUGCGCUCGCGGCCGAUGGAGAAAGGCACAUGUCACGUUAUCGAUCUCCUGAAGCGCCGCUUCUUCAUCCGCGGGACGGCGGCACGUCGUCCGAGCCGCUCCGCUUUAUUCACGGACGAAUCGGCAGAACACACACAUUGAUUUUUUUUUUUUCUUUUUCUGUUUUUUGUCCCGCGUUUAUCCAAACACGUGAACCGUGUA
Gasterosteus aculeatus aculeatus (three-spined stickleback) is the source of this 454-nucleotide long non-coding RNA. The record is from Ensembl. NCBI's taxonomy places the organism in Eukaryota, Metazoa, Chordata, Actinopteri, Perciformes, Gasterosteidae.